GGGAUUGCCUCAGUAACGGCGAGUGAAGCGGCAACAGCUCAAAUUUGAAAUCUGGCGUCUUCGGCGCCCGAGUUGUAAUUUGCAGAGGAUGCUUCGGCGUAGGCGCCGCCCAAAGUUCCUUGGAACGGGACGUCGCAGAGGGUGAGAGCCCCGUGUUCGGGCGGAUGCCGUCGCCAUGUGAAGCUCCUUCGACGAGUCGAGUUGUUUGGGAAUGCAGCUCAAAACGGGAGGUAAAUUUCUUCCAAAGCUAAAUACCGGCCGGAGACCGAUAGUGCACAAGUAGAGUGAUCGAAAGAUGAAAAGCACUUUGGAAAGAGAGUCAAACAGCGCGUGAAAUUGUUAAAAGGGAAGCGCUUGCGGUCAGAACUUGGCCGCCGUUGCUCGGGGAGGUCUCGCGCCUCCCUCGCUCUUCGGCGGCUGGGCCAGCAUCGGUUCGGGCGGCUCGAGAAAGGUCGUGGGAACGUAGCUCCCUCCGGGGAGUGUUAUAGCCCGCGGCGCAAUAGGGCCCGCCUGGACCGAGGUCUGCGCAUCUGCUCGGAUGCUGGCGUAAUGGCCCCAAGCGGCCCGUCUUGAAACACGGACCAAGGAGUCUAACAUUCGUGCGAGUGUUCGGGCGUUAAACCCGUGCGCGCAAUGAAAGUGAACGUAGGUGGGAGCCCCUUGUGGGUGCACCAUCGACCGAUCCAAAUGUUUUCGGAUGGAUUUGAGUAUGAGCACGUAUGUUGGGACCCGAAAGAUGGUGAACUAUGCCUAAACAGGGCGAAGCCAGAGGAAACUCUGGUGGAGGCUCGCAGCGGUUCUGACGUGCAAAUCGAUCGUCAAAUUCGGGCAUAGGGGCGAAAGACUAAUCGAACCAUCUAGUAG
RNAcentral lists this ribosomal RNA (864 nucleotides) under Muyocopron dipterocarpi. RNAcentral's name for it is "partial large subunit ribosomal RNA". It matches the Rfam family "Eukaryotic large subunit ribosomal RNA", at positions 71 to 950 of the family's 3401-position model. Lineage: Eukaryota; Fungi; Ascomycota; Dothideomycetes; Muyocopronales; Muyocopronaceae. The record is from RNAcentral.